Molecule: long non-coding RNA, 674 nt
Filed under: Struthio camelus australis
Lineage: Eukaryota; Metazoa; Chordata; Aves; Struthioniformes; Struthionidae
Description: lncRNA (ENSSCUG00000008783.1)
Source: RNAcentral
AUGAUUGUGAGCAUUAAAGUUUCUGCUCUCCUGCAGGGAGCAUCACAUCCUGAGGGGUUACUCCACUCACUAACAUCAAGAUCCUAUAGGAAAGAAGCUUCUUUUAUAGAUCUCAGCCAUAUUAUUUACGCCAGCAGCAUGUUUCCAGCAAGGGGAGACCGCGUAACAAAAUGCUGCCCUCUGGCCCGUGCCUGCAGAUCGCUUUGGUACGCGACUUCUGAAGCCCUUUCUGCCGUUACUAGAACAAAGCAGUGGUUUCCUCUCUCAUCUCCUGCGAGAGCCGCGGGGCCGGCCAGGCCGUUCGCGCCGCGUGUGAUAGAGAGGGGGUUUGCACGGUGGUCUGAGACUUGGGGGUCUGCUUUCACGCAGCUUCCAGUGCUUUAAUCCUGCUGGUGAGGCAGUUCUCCCCGGGGGCAGCCGAGUGUCCGUGUUGGCCAGCGGUUUCGUAGGGAAUACGUCUCUGUAAAACUCCGGUGAGUAGUCCUUGGGGCAGUGGUUGCUAAGAAAAUACGAAAUUAUUGACGUGUAUGUCCUUUCCAUCAAAAGCAUUUCCCAAUUAGUUGGUUCAGAGUGAUUAGCGCUGGUAACCUGCUGUCAAUCACUGCUCCUAUUUAUUUAUAGAAGGCUUGGUGAUUAAACUGCUUUGAAAUAAAGGCAAAAAUGAAUAUUUUGCA